Molecule: ribosomal RNA, 567 nt
Filed under: Triticum aestivum (bread wheat)
Lineage: Eukaryota; Viridiplantae; Streptophyta; Magnoliopsida; Poales; Poaceae
Description: partial small subunit ribosomal RNA
Source: RNAcentral
AUGGCCACCGCCACCUCACCGCUCCUCUCCCUCUCUUCCCUCUCGGCCUCCCUCCCCUCCCCUUCCCGGGCACCCGCCUCCCUCUCCCUGCGCGCCAUCGCCCCACAGGCCCGCCUGUCGACCUCCUACGCCGCCUUCCCCAUCGGUGGGUUCGGAGCCUCGGCGUCGACGGGGAGGCUGAGGAGGAGGGGGCUGCAGGUGGUGUGUGCCGCCGAGCCGCCCAAGACUGGAAGACAGCCGGACUCGGUCAAGAAGAGGGAGCGUCAGAAUGACAGACACCGCAUCCGCAACCAUGCUCGCAAGGCCGAGAUGCGCACCCGGAUGAAGAAGGUUUUCAGAGCCCUUGAAAAGCUUAGAAAGAAAGCUGAUGCCCAACCUGAAGAAAUCAUUGAAAUAGAGAAAAUGAUCUCCGAGGCAUACAAAGCCAUCGACAAGACAGUGAAGGUUGGUGCCAUGCACAGGAAUACUGGAGACCAUCGCAAGUCCAGGCUUGCAAGGAGGAAGAAGGCCAUUGAGAUAAUCCGUGGUUGGUAUGUUCCUAAUGCCGAACCUGCUGCAACUGCCUAG